GUCUACGGCCAAGCCACCUUGAACAAGGCCGAUGUCUGAUCUCAGAAGUUAAGCAUGGUCAGGCCUGGUUAGUACUUGAAUGGAAGACCACCUAGGAAAACCAGAUGCUGUAGGCA
Molecule: ribosomal RNA, 116 nt
Filed under: Pteropus alecto (black flying fox)
Lineage: Eukaryota; Metazoa; Chordata; Mammalia; Chiroptera; Pteropodidae
Source: RNAcentral